Non-coding RNA from Schistosoma margrebowiei, 45 nucleotides. Lineage: Eukaryota; Metazoa; Platyhelminthes; Trematoda; Strigeidida; Schistosomatidae. The record is from Rfam.
AUUCAGCGGACGAAUCCGAAAUAGGGUGAAACGCGCGUCUUGGAU